GCGCAGCAGUCGCGCAACCUCUGCAAUACGCGAAAGUGUGACAGGGCUACCCCGAGUGCCGUCCGCUGAGGAUGGCUUUUCUCCGGUGUAGUAAGCCGGAGGAAUAAGGAGAGGGCAAGUCUAGUGUCAGCCGCCGCGGUAAUACCAGCUCUCCGAGUGGUAGGGACGAUUAUUGGGCCUAAAGCGUCCGUAGCCGGCCAAGCAAGUUUCCCGUUAAAUCCAGCGAUCCAAUCGUUGGACUGCGGGAAAUACUGUUUGGCUAGGGGGCGAGAGAGGCCAACGGUAUUCCCGGGGUAGGGGUGAAAUCCCAUAAUCCCGGGAGGACCACCAGUGGCGAAGGCUGUUGGCUAGAACGCGCUCGACGGUGAGGGACGAAAGCUGGGGGAGCGAACCGGAUUAGAUACCCCCGUAGUCC
This 415-nucleotide ribosomal RNA is filed under the name uncultured crenarchaeote. RNAcentral's name for it is "partial 16S ribosomal RNA". It matches the Rfam family "Archaeal small subunit ribosomal RNA", at positions 330 to 747 of the family's 1478-position model. Lineage: Archaea; Thermoproteati; Thermoproteota. The record is from RNAcentral.